CAACCCUCAGGCCCUGCCUGGCGUUGGAGGACUGCACCGCAGCCUCCCAAAGCAAGCGGCGGCGGCGCCCCAAAACCGAACGCAGUAGUUAUACCUCGUUCUGGGUGUGGGACGUUGCCCGGCCGGAAAACCCCAUCUUUUUAGU
This 145-nucleotide unclassified non-coding RNA is filed under the name Chloridium sp. RNAcentral's name for it is "partial internal transcribed spacer 2". RNAcentral also lists the same sequence under 1 other name. The record is from RNAcentral. Lineage: Eukaryota; Fungi; Ascomycota; Sordariomycetes; Chaetosphaeriales; Chaetosphaeriaceae.